CCAUAACUUCUUAGCAGAAGUUUCCUUCAUAUACGGGUAUUUCAACUCCUUAUCAAGGAACGAUCGAAUAGUGGCACAAGCAUGGAGAUUAAUUCGAGUCCACUGCUUGUCAUCAAUAUCUUCUGGUUUAUCCUCCAGAACCAUAUCCAACUCUUGUUGAUACAACACAUCCAUAACUUCACAUUGCCACAUACCAAAAUUAUUAGAGCCAUUGAAUUUAUCAACCUCUAACCUUGUAGUGGCAAUUGGAUGUCUAUUGGAUGUAGGUGCCGACGAAGACGAUGUCGAUUCCUUCUCCUUCAAAAUUUCAACUUUUUCUCCAGCCAUCAAAUCUGCCCGGCACUAUUCACUGCUACUGUAGCACAGCACUAUUCACGGGAGCACUGUAGCACCGACACUAUUCACGUGCACUAUUCACCCGUCACUGUAGCACCGACAGAUUUUUCACUCCCACGAAACCCCAGUCGAAAAACUGGAGCUCUGAUACCACUUGUUGUGCGGAAGCGUCAACCAACUGCGAGUGAAAAAUAAAUAACAACAGGCAGGAGAAAAAUUGAACAAAAUAAUCAACAAGAACAACACCAAGAUUUAUACUGGUUCGGCAAUUGCCUACAUCCAGUUUGGAGACGACGGAGUAUUCCACUAUAAUCAAUGAGAGAAUACAAUAGUGUUUACCACUCAAUUUCCCAAAGACCCAAAUACACCCAACCUCACACACUCACAAAGGAAGAGAAAACAAUGAUACAAAGCAAAGAACAACUAGAGAGAAUUUGUUUCUCUCUUUGGCAAAAUGCCUUUCUUGCUAUUUUUCUCUUCUACUCCACACUUGGUUUGAUCCUUAGUUUGGAUGCUUCAA
This 856-nucleotide long non-coding RNA is filed under the name Prunus dulcis (almond). Its description in RNAcentral is "sRNA ncRNA". The record is from RNAcentral. Lineage: Eukaryota; Viridiplantae; Streptophyta; Magnoliopsida; Rosales; Rosaceae.